GCGCAGCAGUCGAGAAACUUCACACUGUGCGAAAGCACGAUGAGGGAAUCCCAAGUGCUUGCACGUAAGUGUAAGCUGUUUCUCUGUUUAAAACGCAGAGAGAGUAAGGGCUGGGGUAAGACGGGUGCCAGCCGCCGCGGUAAAUACCUGCAGCUCAAGUGGUGACUGUUAGUUAUUGGGGCCCUAAAAACGUCCGUAGCCCGGUUUUAAUAAAAUGCCCUGGGGUAAAAUCGUGUAGC
RNAcentral lists this ribosomal RNA (239 nucleotides) under uncultured microorganism. RNAcentral describes it as "partial 16S ribosomal RNA". It matches the Rfam family "Archaeal small subunit ribosomal RNA", at positions 330 to 558 of the family's 1478-position model. The record is from RNAcentral.